AGAGUUUGAUCCUGGCUCAGAAUGAACGCUGGCGGCGUGCUUAACACAUGCAAGUCGCACGAGAACGCUUCAGCUUGCUGGAGCUAGUAAAGUGGCGCACGGGUGAGUAACGCGUGGGUAAUCUACCUCCGAAUUGGGGAUAACACUGCGAAAGCGGUGCUAAUACCGAAUGACAUCCCAGGGACCUUGGUUUCGGGGAUCAAAGGUGGCCUCUACAUGUAAGCUACUGUUUGGAGAUGAGCCCGCGUACCAUUAGCUAGUUGGUAGGGUAAUGGCCUACCAAGGCUGCGAUGGUUAGCUGGUCUGAGAGGAUGAUCAGCCACACUGGAACUGACACACGGUCCAGACUCCUACGGGAGGCAGCAGUGAGGAAUUUUGCGCAAUGGGGGAAACCCUGACGCAGCAACGCCGCGUGAGUGAUGAAGGCUUUCGGGUCGUAAAGCUCUGUCAAGUGGGAAGAAUAUGCCCUGUGAUAAUACCAUGGGGCACUGACGGUACCACUGAAGGAAGCACCGGCUAACUCCGUGCCAGCAGCCGCGGUAAUACGGGGGGUGCAAGCGUUAUUCGGAAUCAUUGGGCGUAAAGGGCGCGUAGGCGGCCUCUUAAGUCAGAUGUGAAAGCCCUCAGCUUAACUGAGGAAGUGCAUUUGAAACUAAGGGCUUGAGUAUGGGAGAGGGAAGCGGAAUUCCUGGUGUAGCGGUGAAAUGCGUAGAUUCAAGAGGAACACCGGUGGCGAGGCUUCCUGGACCAAUACUGACGCUAGCGCGAAGGGUGGGGAGCAAACAGGAUUAGAUACCCUGGUAGUCAAGGGCGAAUCCAGCCUGGUUACUAGUGCCA
RNAcentral lists this ribosomal RNA (837 nucleotides) under uncultured bacterium. RNAcentral describes it as "bacterial SSU rRNA". It matches the Rfam family "Bacterial small subunit ribosomal RNA", at positions 8 to 824 of the family's 1533-position model. The record is from RNAcentral.